UGAGGAGCUGAGAACAUUUGUACCCGAAGUGUGUUGAACAGUUUUUCAUGAGGAGAUUUGAGGAAGAAGCAGAAGGAGGGGAGAAGGACAAGAGGCCCUGAGCUACCGACUACCCCGUGAGCCACCCAGAUGAAACUCAAGAGUAUCGAGAGACUGCGUCAUACCGCCAAACUGACUUCACUGUUUGCUUAAGGUAUCAUUUUUAUUUGUUGCUCUUUUGAGUGAAGCGGCCAGAGAGUUUUAAGCCUCACCGUACCCAAGCAUCCUAUCAGGCCUGCAACCCGGGGAAAUUUAGAACUAAUUGCCGGCGGGUGACUGUGUGUGUGUGAGCUUGUUAAAGAACUCAGGGCCCUUCCCUGAUUAUAUUAUGGGAUAACUGGGCUACGUCUCUCUCCACCAAAGAGACUGGACGACAAGAGCGUUCACUGCCGUGUAUCGUCUGGCAGCGAGGUGAGUUGGUUCAUCAGCUCUUGUCAUGCGUGUCUUUGUCUCUGUGGGGGAGGCAGGGCUAUGGGCUACACACACACACACAGUGCAAUCUUCGUGAGGGGGAGAC
Long non-coding RNA from Epinephelus fuscoguttatus (brown-marbled grouper), 556 nucleotides. RefSeq lists it as uncharacterized. The transcript is spliced from 3 exons. The record is from RefSeq and is a predicted model, not a curated record. NCBI's taxonomy places the organism in Eukaryota, Metazoa, Chordata, Actinopteri, Perciformes, Serranidae.